RNAcentral lists this unclassified non-coding RNA (388 nucleotides) under rhizosphere metagenome. RNAcentral's name for it is "partial ribosomal RNA internal transcribed spacer region". The record is from RNAcentral.
GUAGGUGAACCUGCGGAAGGAUCAUUUGAGUUUGUUUCCGUGUCUGUGCGCGGCUUUGUGGAUUCAUUUCCAUGAAUGCUCUACACUCUCACUGCAAACCCACUUUGAAAAGUCAACUGUGUGGAAGCGAAAUCUCUCACUGCUGAGCGUGCGUGCGUGCGUGCAAGCAUGUUGUGCUUUGUGACUGCGCGUUGCGUGUUGUGCUUUUUGUACAACACGCAGCCCGCACGUUGCGCUGCUCAUCAUAGUGCUGCUGCGCGCACUGCUCACUGUGUCGAUAUAUUUACAAACACGAUGGAUAAACCACUUAGUACACAACCAUGGCCAAAGGCGUACACACAAUACACAAAAAGUGAGUACAGUUUUAACGGUGGAUCUCUUGGCUCGU